Molecule: small nucleolar RNA, 144 nt
Organism: Acomys russatus (golden spiny mouse)
Lineage: Eukaryota; Metazoa; Chordata; Mammalia; Rodentia; Muridae
Product: small nucleolar RNA SNORA48
Exons: 1
Source: RefSeq, a predicted model, not a curated record
UCCCCCUUGCAAUGGGCAAAGAGACACCUUAUUGGUGGUGGUGUUCUUACAUCAGUCAGGGGCAAAACAGAAGGCAGUCCUUUGUUCAUCUUACUUUAAUACCUGGCUUGGUGGCCAAAGCUGUUUUAUGCCUAGGGCUCAUAA